AUUGAACGCUGGCGGCAUGCCUUACACAUGCAAGUCGAACGGUAACGGGUCCUUCGGGAUGCCGACGAGUGGCGAACGGGUGAGUAAUAUAUCGGAACGUGCCCAGUAGUGGGGGAUAACUGCUCGAAAGAGCAGCUAAUACCGCAUACGACCUGAGGGUGAAAGGGGGGGAUCGCAAGACCUCUCGCUAUUGGAGCGGCCGAUAUCAGAUUAGCCAGUUGGUGGGGUAAAGGCCUACCAAGGCAACGAUCUGUAGUUGGUCUGAGAGGACGACCAGCCACACUGGGACUGAGACACGGCCCAGACUCCUACGGGAGGCAGCAGUGGGGAAUUUUGGACAAUGGGCGCAAGCCUGAUCCAGCAAUGCCGCGUGCAGGAAGAAGGCCUUCGGGUUGUAAACUGCUUUUGUCAGGGAAGAAAUCUUCUGGGCUAAUACCCCGGGAGGAUGA
RNAcentral lists this ribosomal RNA (449 nucleotides) under Leptothrix sp. oral taxon B91. RNAcentral's name for it is "bacterial SSU rRNA". It matches the Rfam family "Bacterial small subunit ribosomal RNA", at positions 30 to 472 of the family's 1533-position model. Lineage: Bacteria; Pseudomonadati; Pseudomonadota; Betaproteobacteria; Burkholderiales; Sphaerotilaceae. The record is from RNAcentral.